CCCAGAGAGCAGAGGCAGGCUCCAUAAAGUCGAUGGCAGGGUCCAUUGUUGGGGCACUUGCACUUUCGUCUGCAGUUCUUUCCAAAAUAGCCCCUCAGGCAACCUAUGAUUCCUGUCCAGCCAGGCGAGCAAUCACAUUGGUCCUUGUUUUCACUACAUGCUCCAUUCACACAGUCGUCACAGCUCACACUACAGUCAUCCCCAAAGGAGCCCUCUAGGCACACUGAAAAGGAAAUGGUAAACUCCAAAUUACUUUUCUUGUCUGUAGAUUUACAGAGGGGGCAAUAAAAUAGUAUUGAUUUGAUCA
Long non-coding RNA from Xiphophorus couchianus (Monterrey platyfish), 307 nucleotides. RefSeq lists it as uncharacterized. The record is from RefSeq and is a predicted model, not a curated record. NCBI's taxonomy places the organism in Eukaryota, Metazoa, Chordata, Actinopteri, Cyprinodontiformes, Poeciliidae. The transcript is spliced from 2 exons.